CCCCUCCCCCCGCUCCCCCGGAGCGGGGUGCGGAGAAUGGCCUCCCGUGCGCCCCCGUCGCGCGGCCGGCCC
Molecule: ribosomal RNA, 72 nt
Filed under: Trichocalyx obovatus
Lineage: Eukaryota; Viridiplantae; Streptophyta; Magnoliopsida; Lamiales; Acanthaceae
Description: partial 5.8S ribosomal RNA
Source: RNAcentral